AUUGCAUCACUAGGUCCCUAUCUGCAACCGUAGCAAAUUUAAAGAUAUAAUAGCCAUAGCCAUGAUAUAGUACCUUUGGUUUCGUCACAAAAUUCCACACAUGAGCUAUGUAAUUCUUCAUUGUUUUGAAAAAUAGAGAAUCCCCCAAUACAUAUCCAAUCAAUUCAGUGCUCCAGUGGUUGGCUUGAACAAGUAUAUCAUCUUCCUCAAGCUGCACAAUCAGCUUCUCCCCCUUCAUCAUCGGUGGAAUAUAAUUAAGUGCCUUCCCCAUUUGUGAACUCCUAUUUGGGGGUUUCACCUGAUCCUUCUCCUCCUCUGUUUUCACCUCAGCUUGAGUUGGGGGAGCUUGAGACGAGGUACCUACAUCAGAAAAUUACAACCUCCGGGGAAAUUGUGAGUCCUCCGGCCUCCUAGUAAUCCUCUUCCUAGCUGGGUCAUGUUUCACCACUCUCGCCUCCACUAGCUCAGUUUCCUCACGGAUUGGCUGAAACGAGCCUGGGAUGAAGUUCCCAAAAGUUAAUGGACCUAAUUUUUGUUGUAUUCCACUUGGUGGUGUAACGAUGACCGGCAGUGGCGAUACUACUGUUCGACGAGCCAUUCUCACUACCUGCAUACGUUAGUAGCCUGCUAU
RNAcentral lists this long non-coding RNA (631 nucleotides) under Capsicum annuum. Its description in RNAcentral is "long non-coding RNA (CANN_LNC010763)". Lineage: Eukaryota; Viridiplantae; Streptophyta; Magnoliopsida; Solanales; Solanaceae. The record is from RNAcentral.